UACAGAGGGUGCGAGCGCUAAUCGGAAUUACUGGGCGUAAAGCGUGCGUAGACGGUUAUUUAAGUCGGGUGUGAAAGCCCCGGGCUCAACCUGGGAAUUGCAUUCGAGACUGAAUAGCUAGGGUACGGUAGAGGGAAGUGGAAUUUCCGGUGUAGCGGUGAAAUGCGUAGAUAUCGGAAGGAACAUCAGUGGCGAAAGCGACUUCCUGGACCAGUACCGACGUUCAGGCACGAAAGCGUGGGGAGCAAACAGG
RNAcentral lists this ribosomal RNA (253 nucleotides) under uncultured bacterium. Its description in RNAcentral is "partial 16S ribosomal RNA". It matches the Rfam family "Bacterial small subunit ribosomal RNA", at positions 524 to 776 of the family's 1533-position model. The record is from RNAcentral.